GUGAGUUCAAGGCCACCCUGAACUACUCAGUGAGACUCUGUCUCAAACCAAAAAAUAAAUACAUAAAUCAAUUUUUAAAAUAACAAGAGAGGGUCUGUCCACAGUGUGGCUUCCUGCUUUGACCCAGGUCAGGAAACCUCAAGGUAUUCCUUGGGUGACAUACUGCCCAGAAAUCAGCCUCAGCAGCCCUGGUCCCCACCCUUAGCACCUGUCCCUGCUCCUGGCCGCUCUGACGCUGCCCUCCUGCUCGCUGCUGCUGCUCCAGGGCCUGCUGCCACCCACAGUCCCCUCCCCGUGCUCCUGUCCUCAUCCUCUCUCUCCUAGUACACCCUGACACUGUGGCAGGGCAGAGCUGAC
RNAcentral lists this long non-coding RNA (357 nucleotides) under Heterocephalus glaber (naked mole-rat). RNAcentral's name for it is "lncRNA (ENSHGLG00100034913.1)". Lineage: Eukaryota; Metazoa; Chordata; Mammalia; Rodentia; Bathyergidae. The record is from RNAcentral.